GUUUCCGUAGUGUAGUGGUCAUCACGUUCGCCUAACACGCGAAAGGUCCUUUUGCUCGAAACCGAGCGGAAACA
Solea solea (common sole) is the source of this 74-nucleotide non-coding RNA. The record is from the annotation of a RefSeq genome assembly. NCBI's taxonomy places the organism in Eukaryota, Metazoa, Chordata, Actinopteri, Pleuronectiformes, Soleidae.